UUGUUCGGAAUUACUGGGCGUAAAGGGCGCGUAGGCGGCCUUCUAAGUCGAACGUGAAAUCCCCGGGCUCAACCCGGGAACUGCGUCCGAUACUGGGAGGCUUGAAUCCGGGAGAGGGAUGUGGAAUUCCAGGUGUAGCGGUGAAAUGCGUAGAUAUCUGGAGGAACACCGGUGGCGAAGGCGGCAUCCUGGACCGGUACUGACGCUGAGGCGCGAAAGCCAGGGGAGCAAACGGG
This 236-nucleotide ribosomal RNA is filed under the name uncultured bacterium. RNAcentral describes it as "partial 16S ribosomal RNA". It matches the Rfam family "Bacterial small subunit ribosomal RNA", at positions 541 to 776 of the family's 1533-position model. The record is from RNAcentral.